Molecule: unclassified non-coding RNA, 226 nt
Filed under: plant metagenome
Description: partial contains small subunit ribosomal RNA, internal transcribed spacer 1, and 5.8S ribosomal RNA
Source: RNAcentral
UUUCCGUAGGUGAACCUGCGGAAGGAUCAUUAAAGAAUUGCCACGUCUUCACGACGAUGGGUUCUAUACCAACCCGUGUUUACAUACCUUUGUUGCUUUGGCGGGCCGCCGCUCCGGCGUCGGCUCCGGCGGACUGCGCCCGCCAGAGGACCACAACUCUUUUGUUUAGUAAAGUCGGAGUACUAUAUAAUAGUUAAAACUUUCAACAACGGAUCUCUUGGUUCUG